RNAcentral lists this long non-coding RNA (1647 nucleotides) under Amborella trichopoda. Its description in RNAcentral is "long non-coding RNA (ATRI_LNC001694)". The record is from RNAcentral. Lineage: Eukaryota; Viridiplantae; Streptophyta; Magnoliopsida; Amborellales; Amborellaceae.
CUCUCUCUUUACAAUUCACACAACAUAUGCGAGUUUCGACAUUCUCUCUCUACCUCCAAUUUAUGUUUCGAUAGUAGUUCCAUAUCAAACUCCAAAUUUGCUGCAUUUGCAUUGUGCAAUCUCUCUCUAGAUUCAUCAUCUGUGCUUUGAGGCAUGAAAUCUUUCGCAAUUCCUAUCAAAAGACCUGCUUUUCUCGACCCUUACCAAAAUAGUAUUCAAUCAAAUUUUGCUGAAGCCACAUUUGAUUCGAUGCAUUUGCAUGUCGAUUAGCAUAUUUGGUAAAAGGGAAUUCAGAAGUUCAGAUCUUUCUCAAGCAUAGAAAGGUCUUGAAGCUCCUUUUAGUGAUAAGAGAAUAUGAUGUUUCAACUAUUGGCAAUACUUCUUAGAGAAAGAAACGUUCAUUAAUUCACUAGGUGACAUUGGAAAGUGACGAGGUUGAGGGGUACUGUGAGAGCCACUAAGGUGGUAGGAGCUUGUUGUUUAUAGAAAUAGUUGUGACGCUAAAAAAGUGUGCUUAGAAGAGGCACUAUAAUGACAAUGAUUAAGUUCAAACGCAACAAAAUGAUGCAAUUUUUGUAGGAUCAGGUCAUUGGGUAAGGUUUAUCAGAGCUGGUUGGGUCAAUGGCGAACCAGAUGGUUGUAUCGGUCAACUUCAAAAGAGAGAAGAGAUAGAGAGUAGAGAGAGAUCCUCUGAAUCUGUGUUACCACUGCUGUGUGUUUUUUGGUCUCUAUGGAGUGGGCAGCCACCAUGAAAGCAGUGGAUGUUGGCCUUUUUAUAUGGGCUUCUUUGUGUUAUGAGCAUUUCAAAUCAGUUUGAAAGAUAAAUUUAGCUGGGCAUGUUUGGGUUUUGAACAAUUAAUCUUCAGUGAGAAACUUUUAGUUGGGCGAGGUUUGAGCAUUCAUGAGAGAGAGACCCCAUGAUCACUAGAAACUAAAAGGGCUCACUGAGGAGGAAGGAGAUCGAGGGAGAGAGAAUCACCAAGGAGGAAGCAAAUAGAUGAAGGAGAGAGAUGAAGAGAGAAUCAUCAAGAAGGAAGCAAAUAGAGAAAGAGUACAAAUUGGAACACAAAGGAUCACUAAAACAAGAGAUGUGAGCUGCUCUGUUAAAAACCAAAACCCCAAAAUCAAGGAUGAAACUCGAAAGAGAGAAUGUGGAAACUUGUGUGUGAUGCAGCCUUGAUAUUCGGUUUUUCAAAAACCUAAUUUGGGCUCAUUUCAAUUUUUGAAAAACUGAAAAAUAUUUGGUCAUUUUUUAAAAAAUCAUUAUGAAAUAUAAAAAACAAACAUACAAGUAAUAACAUAAAGUUUUAGAUAUUUUCGUAAUAACAAAAAAAUAAAACAGAUAAUUAUGUAAUUCUCCUUUUUAGUUUUACAAAAAAUUUAUGAAUAUGAACCAAACAAAGAAGCAUAAAGAGGUUAAACUCUUUUGCCUACUGGAGGGCCUUAUCCCUAGAGUUAAGGGUUAGGGUGAGGGUUAGGAUAGGUUUGAGGGAAUUCAAUAGGUCCAGCAAGAUGGGAGGAUGAUGAGAUGGAUUCCAGGGUUUAACAGGUGAAUUUUAAGGUUCAAAAUUAAGUUUGAACCUCAGGAGGUUAGGAAUACUGUUAGGGGGGGUGGGAAAGACAUGCCCUAUUCUUUUUUUCCAAUAG